RNAcentral lists this ribosomal RNA (253 nucleotides) under Myxococcales bacterium. RNAcentral's name for it is "partial 16S ribosomal RNA". It matches the Rfam family "Bacterial small subunit ribosomal RNA", at positions 524 to 776 of the family's 1533-position model. RNAcentral also lists the same sequence under 1 other name. Lineage: Bacteria; Pseudomonadati; Myxococcota; Myxococcia; Myxococcales. The record is from RNAcentral.
GACAGAGGGUGCAAACGUUGCUCGGAAUUACUGGGCGUAAAGCGCGUGUAGGCGGGCUGGAAAGUCGGGCGUGAAAUCCCCAGGCUCAACCUGGGAACUGCACUCGAAACUCCCAGUCUAGAGUGGUGGAGAGGGAAGUGGAAUUCCUGGUGUAGAGGUGAAAUUCGUAGAUAUCAGGAGGAACACCAGUGGCGAAGGCGGCUUCCUGGACACCAACUGACGCUGAGACGCGAAAGCGUGGGGAGCAAACAGG